RNAcentral lists this long non-coding RNA (1077 nucleotides) under Homo sapiens (human). RNAcentral describes it as "HSALNT0139326". The record is from RNAcentral. Lineage: Eukaryota; Metazoa; Chordata; Mammalia; Primates; Hominidae.
GCUUUGAUGAUCAAGGAGGCCCAGAAUCAUUGCUCCAUGGAGACCAUCAUUCUAUUCUACUGGCUCCAAAAUGAGUUUAACCAAUCUGGACACUUAGACGUUGUCAUCACUUUCUCACCUUUAAUAUCAUCAAUAUUAGUAACACUGUCAUAGAAUACUGGGAAAGUAGAAAAUAAAACGUCCAGGCCCAGUGGCGCACACCUGUAAUCCCAACAGUUUGGGGUGGAUUGCUUGAGCCCAGGAGUUGAAGACCAGCCUGGGCAACAUGGCAAAACCCUGUCUCUACAAAAAAAUAAAAAAUAAAUAGCCUGGUGUAGUGGCACGUGCCUGUACUCUCAACUACUCAAGAGGCUGAGGUGGGAAGAUCGCUUGAGCCCAGGAGAACAAGGCUGCAGUGAGCCAUGUUCGCACCACUGCACCCCAGCCUGGGUGACACAAUGAGACCCUGUCUCAAAAAAAUAAAUAAAAUUAAAUACAUCUUUAUAGAACUCAUUUAAAUUCUCAACCCUUUUAAAACAAGUUCUUAAUUAUUUUACCCAUUGGAAUCUUUUGCCUCAUCUCUGCAAAAUGUCAACUAAUUCUCUUCAUGAAAUUCCAGACUGUAAAUACAGGUUUUUCUACGCAAAAAAAAAAAAAGGCUGGGAGCAGUGGCUCAUGCCUGUAAUCCCAGCACUUUGGGAGGCCAAGGUGGGCGGAUCAUCUGAGGUCAGGAGUUUGAGACCAGCCUGGCCAACGUGGUGAAAACCCAUCUCUACGAAAAAUACAAAAAUUAGCUGGGCAUGGUGGCAUGCACCUGUAAUCCCAGCUAUUAGUAGGUGCUGAGGCAGGAGACUCGCUUGAACCCUGGAGGCAGAGGUUGCAGUGAGCUGAGAUCACACCACUACACUCCAGCCUGGGCAACAGAGUGAGACUCCCUUUCAAAAAAAAAAAAAGAGUCUCUUAUUCUCUGUAGACCUCAAUUUCCUCAUCUUUGCAAUGAAGGGGUUGGACAAGAUAAUCAAGCCCCUCUAGUUAUUUUAGUUUUUUUGGCUCAUUCUUUAUUUCUUUAUUUAUUUAUUUGAGACAGAGUUUCACUCU